RNAcentral lists this ribosomal RNA (649 nucleotides) under uncultured bacterium. Its description in RNAcentral is "bacterial SSU rRNA". It matches the Rfam family "Bacterial small subunit ribosomal RNA", at positions 43 to 683 of the family's 1533-position model. The record is from RNAcentral.
CAGGCCUAACACAUGCAAGUCGAGCGGAAACAGGGGGUGCUUGCACCCCGCUGUCGAGCGGCGGACGGGUGAGUAAUGCAUAGGAAACUGCCCAGUAGUGGGGGAUAGCCCGGGGAAACCCGGAUUAAUACCGCAUACGCCCUUCGGGGGAAAGCAGGGGAUCUUCGGACCUUGCGCUAUUGGAUGUGCCUAUGUCGGAUUAGCUAGUUGGUGGGGUAAAGGCCUACCAAGGCGACGAUCCGUAGCUGGUCUGAGAGGAUGAUCAGCCACAUCGAGACUGAGACACGGCCCGAACUCCUACGGGAGGCAGCAGUGGGGAAUAUUGGACAAUGGGGGCAACCCUGAUCCAGCCAUGCCGCGUGUGUGAAGAAGGCUUUCGGGUUGUAAAGCACUUUCAGCGAGGAGGAAAACCUGGCGAUUAAUACUCGUCAGGCUUGACGUUACUCGCAGAAGAAGCACCGGCUAACUCCGUGCCAGCAGCCGCGGUAAUACGGAGGGUGCAAGCGUUAAUCGGAAUUACUGGGCGUAAAGCGCGCGUAGGCGGUUUGAUAAGCGGGAUGUGAAAGCCCCGGGCUUAACCUGGGAACGGCAUUCCGAACUGUCAGGCUAGAGUAUGGUAGAGGGUAGUGGAAUUUCCUGUGUAGCGGUG